This 336-nucleotide small RNA is filed under the name Pan troglodytes (chimpanzee). Its description in RNAcentral is "retained intron". Lineage: Eukaryota; Metazoa; Chordata; Mammalia; Primates; Hominidae. The record is from RNAcentral.
AUGCCUGACAUAUAGUAAGUGCUAAAUAAAUAUUUGUUGCCUGCCUAAGAUACUCAUUCAAAAGUCAUAGAACUAGUCUGUCCCUUUGAUGUUGUUUCAAUCUAUAGGAGGAGCUAGAAACCCUACAGAGCAUCAAUAAGAAGUUGGAACUGAAAGUGAAAGAACAGAAGGACUAUUGGGAGACAGAGCUGCUUCAACUGAAAGAACAAAACCAGAAGAUGUCCUCAGAAAAUGAGAAGAUGGGAAUCAGAGUGGAUCAGCUUCAGGUAGGUAAUGCCAUAUGUUUGUCAAAGGAUAUUUUCUUAGCCUUACCACUGCUCCAAUUUGGUGGCCUAG